AGAUUAGUAGUUAAGUAAUAAAAUACAACACUUUUAAUAUUAGGAUUAUUAGUUUAAAUCCAAUCUAGUUUA
Molecule: transfer RNA, 72 nt
Filed under: Scedosporium apiospermum
Lineage: Eukaryota; Fungi; Ascomycota; Sordariomycetes; Microascales; Microascaceae
Rfam family: tRNA
About the family: Transfer RNA (tRNA) molecules are approximately 80 nucleotides in length. Their secondary structure includes four short double-helical elements and three loops (D, anti-codon, and T loops).
Source: Rfam by way of RNAcentral